RNAcentral lists this non-coding RNA (777 nucleotides) under Actinotia polyodon. The record is from RNAcentral. Lineage: Eukaryota; Metazoa; Arthropoda; Insecta; Lepidoptera; Noctuidae.
UUAUGGUUUUAAAAAUUUAUUUUAAAUUUAUUUUACAUAUAAAUUUUAGUGUUAUUUUUAAAUUAUUUUAAUAAUAUUUAAAUUUAAAAAGUAGUAAUUAAUAUUAAAUUAUUUAAGAAAUUAAGAUUUAGUAAUAUUUUAAUUAAUAACAAAUUUUGUGCCAGCAGUUGCGGUUAUACAAAAAUUAAAUUAAAUUUUAUUAGUAAUUAAUUAAUAGAAAUAUUUUAAAAUAAUAUAAAUUUUAAAUUAUUAGGUAAAAUUUUAAUUUAAUAAAAUUUUAUUUAAAAUUGUUUAUGAUUUAAUAAAUUUUAUAAAAAACUAGGAUUAGAUACCCUAUUAUUAAAAAUUAAAAUUAAUAUACUAAAAUAGUAAAUAAUUAUUUAUUGAAACUUAAAUAAUUUGGCGGUAUUUUAGUUCAUUUAGAGGAAUCUGUUUAAUAAUUGAUAAUCCACGAAUAAAUUUACUUAAUUUAUAAUUUUGUAUAUCGUUGUUAAAAAAAUAUUUUUUAAUAAAUUUAAUAUUUAAAAAUUUUUAUAAUAAAUUAAAUCAGAUCAAGAUGCAGAUUAUAAUUAAGAAUAUAAUGGAUUACAAUAAAUUUAUUUAAAUGAAUAUUAAUUUGUAAAAAUUAAUUGAAAGUGGAUUUAAAUGUAAUUUUAUUUAAUUUAAUAAAAUGAUUAAAAAUUAAAAUAUGUACAUAUUGCCCGUCGCUUUCAUAUAUUAAUAAAUUGGAAUAAGUCGUAACAAAGUAGAGGUACUGGAAAGUGUUUCUAGAAUGAA